RNAcentral lists this ribosomal RNA (266 nucleotides) under uncultured bacterium. RNAcentral's name for it is "partial 16S ribosomal RNA". It matches the Rfam family "Bacterial small subunit ribosomal RNA", at positions 793 to 1055 of the family's 1533-position model. The record is from RNAcentral.
GUCCUAGCAGUAAACGGUGCAUGUUUGGUGUGGGCGGAUUCGACUCCUCCCGUGCCGAAGCUAACGCGAUAAACAUGCCGCCUGGGAAGUACGAUCGCAAGAUUAAAACUCAAAGAAAUUGACGGGGCCCGCACAAGCGGUGGAGUAUGUGGCUUAAUUCGAUGCAACGCGAAGAACCUUACCAGGCCUUGACAUGCAUUGCUAAUUUAGUGAAAGCUAAAGACGGUAGCAAUACCGACCUUGCACAGGUGCUGCAUGGCUGUCGU